AACGCUGGCGGCGUGCCUAAUACAUGCAAGUCGAACGAACUCUGGUAUUGAUUGGUGCUUGCAUCAUGAUUUACAUUUGAGUGAGUGGCGAACUGGUGAGUAACACGUGGGAAACCUGCCCAGAAGCGGGGGAUAACACCUGGAAACAGAUGCUAAUACCGCAUAACAACUUGGACCGCAUGGUCCGAGUUUGAAAGAUGGCUUCGGCUAUCACUUUUGGAUGGUCCCGCGGCGUAUUAGCUAGAUGGUGAGGUAACGGCUCACCAUGGCAAUGAUACGUAGCCGACCUGAGAGGGUAAUCGGCCACAUUGGGACUGAGACACGGCCCAAACUCCUACGGGAGGCAGCAGUAGGGAAUCUUCCACAAUGGACGAAAGUCUGAUGGAGCAACGCCGCGUGAGUGAAGAAGGGUUUCGGCUCGUAAAACUCUGUUGUUAAAGAAGAACAUAUCUGAGAGUAACUGUUCAGGUAUUGACGGUAUUUAACCAGAAAGCCACGGCUAACUACGUGCCAGCAGCCGCGGUAAUACGUAGGUGGCAAGCGUUGUCCGGAUUUAUUGGGCGUAAAGCGAGCGCAGGCGGUUUUUUAAGUCUGAUGUGAAAGCCUUCGGCUCAACCGAAGAAGUGCAUCGGAAACUGGGAAACUUGAGUGCAGAAGAGGACAGUGGAACUCCAUGUGUAGCGGUGAAAUGCGUAGAUAUAUGGAAGAACACCAGUGGCGAAGGCGGCUGUCUGGUCUGUAACUGACGCUGAGGCUCGAAAGUAUGGGUAGCAAACAGGAUUAGAUACCCUGGUAGUCCAUACCGUAAACGAUGAAUGCUAAGUGUUGGAGGGUUUCCGCCCUUCAGUGCUGCAGCUAACGCAUUAAGCAUUCCGCCUGGGGAGUACGGCCGCAAGGCUGAAACUCAAAGGAAUUGACGGGGGCCCGCACAAGCGGUGGAGCAUGUGGUUUAAUUCGAAGCUACGCGAAGAACCUUACCAGGUCUUGACAUACUAUGCAAAUCUAAGAGAUUAGACGUUCCCUUMGGGGACAUGGAUACAGGUGGUGCAUGGUUGUCGUCAGCUCGUGUCGUGAGAUGUUGGGUUAAGUCCCGCAACGAGCGCAACCCUUAUUAUCAGUUGCCAGCAUUAAGUUGGGCACUCUGGUGAGACUGCCGGUGACAAACCGGAGGAAGGUGGGGAUGACGUCAAAUCAUCAUGCCCCUUAUGACCUGGGCUACACACGUGCUACAAUGGAUGGUACAACGAGUUGCGAACUCGCGAGAGUAAGCUAAUCUCUUAAAGCCAUUCUCAGUUCGGAUUGUAGGCUGCAACUCGCCUACAUGAAGUCGGAAUCGCUAGUAAUCGCGGAUCAGCAUGCCGCGGUGAAUACGUUCCCGGGCCUUGUACACACCGCCCGUCACACCAUGAGAGUUUGUAACACCCAAAGUCGGUGGGGUAACCUUUUAGGAACCAGCCGCCUAAGGUGGGACAGAGAUUAGGGG
This 1483-nucleotide ribosomal RNA is filed under the name Lactobacillus sp. SK007. RNAcentral describes it as "bacterial SSU rRNA". It matches the Rfam family "Bacterial small subunit ribosomal RNA". Lineage: Bacteria; Bacillati; Bacillota; Bacilli; Lactobacillales; Lactobacillaceae. The record is from RNAcentral.